RNAcentral lists this ribosomal RNA (253 nucleotides) under uncultured bacterium. RNAcentral's name for it is "partial 16S ribosomal RNA". It matches the Rfam family "Bacterial small subunit ribosomal RNA", at positions 524 to 776 of the family's 1533-position model. The record is from RNAcentral.
UACAGAGGUCCCAAGCGUUGUUCGGAAUUACUGGGCGUAAAGGGUUCGUAGGUGGCUGGCUAAGCCAUACGUGAAAUCCCUCAGCUUAACUGGGGAACUGCGUCUGGGACUGGUCGGCUUGAGUGCAGGAGAGGAACGCGGAAUUCCAGGUGUAGCGGUGAAAUGCGUAGAUAUCUGGAGGAACACCGGUGGCGAAGGCGGCGUUCUGGACUGCAACUGACACUGAGGAACGAAAGCCAGGGGAGCAAACGGG